This 2007-nucleotide ribosomal RNA is filed under the name human vaginal metagenome. Its description in RNAcentral is "bacterial LSU rRNA". It matches the Rfam family "Bacterial large subunit ribosomal RNA", at positions 1 to 2004 of the family's 2925-position model. The record is from RNAcentral.
GAAAGUAAGAAAGGGCGCAUGGCGGAUGCCUUGGCUCAUGGAGGCGAUGAAGGACGUGAUAAGCUGCGAUAAGCUUCGGGUAGAUGCAAAUAAUCUUUGAUCCGAAGAUUUCCGAAUGGGACAACCUAGCGUGUUGAAGACACGUUACUCUUGCUAAUCAAGAGAGCUAACGCAGGGAACUGAAACAUCUUAGUACCUGUAGGAAGAGAAAAUAAUUUAAUGAUUUCCCUAGUAGUGGCGAGCGAACGGGAAACAGCCCAAACCUAUGACGUAGCAAUGCGCCAUAGGGGUUGUAGGACCACGACAUUGUAUUAAGUCAAUCGAGAAGAAUAUUCUGGAAAGAAUAACCAUAGAGGGUGAUAGUCCUGUACUCGAAGUGCGACUUAGCAUAGUGGUAUCCUGAGUACCGCGGAACACGUGUAAUUCUGCGCGAAUCAGCCGGGCCCAUCCGGUAAGGCUAAAUACUCCCAUGAGACCGAUAGUGAACGAGUACUGUGAAGGAAAGGUGAAAAGCACUCCGCGAGGAGAGUGAAAUAGUUCCUGAAACCAUGCGCCUACAAGCGGUCGGAGCAAAGUAAUUUGUGACGGCGUGCCUUUUGCAUAAUGAACCUACGAGUUACCAUGUCUGGCAAGGAUAAGUGAUUCAGUCACGCAUCCAUAGUGAAAGCGAGCCUGAACAGGGCGUUAUAGUCAGAUGGGGUAGACGCGAAACCAAGUGAUCUACACUUACCCAGGUUGAAGUUCGGGUAACACCGAAUGGAGGACCGCACCAAUAAGCGUUGAAAAGCUUCUGGAUGAGGUGAGUGUAGGAGUGAAAGGCCAAUCAAACUUGGAGAUAGCUCGUACUCCCCGAAAGGCAUUUAGGUGCCGCGUGCUACGAUCAGCAUAAGAGGUAGAGCGACCGAUAGGUCAAGAGGGCUUCACCGCCUAUUGCGACCUGACGAACUCCGAAUGCUUAUGUUUUGCAGUAGUGCAGUAAGGGGGCGGGUGCUAAGGUCCGUCCCCGAGAGGAGAAGAAUCCAGACCGUCAUCUAAGGUCCCGAAAUUCUGUCUAAGUUAGUCUAACGAAGUGUGGUCCCCGUGACAGCUAGGAUGUUGGCUUGGAAGCAGCCAUUCAUUCAAAGAGUGCGUAACAGCUCACUAGUCGAGGGUCCGUGCAUGGAUAAUAAUCGGGUAUUAAGUCAGAUACCGAAGGUGCGGGAUAGUAUUGUAUAUAAAAAGUAUCGGUAGGGGAGCAUUCCAUCGGCGCAGAAUAUAGACCGUAAGGUUUGUUGGAGCUUAUGGAAAAGCAAAUGUAGGUAUAAGUAACGAUAAAAAGGGUUAGAUUCCCUUUCGCCGAAAGACCGAGGUUUCCCGGGCGAUGCCAAUCAGCCCGGGGUUAGUCGAGUCCUAAGUCUCAUCCGAACGGAGCAGGCGAUGGCAGAUGAGGUUAAUAUUCCUCAACUUGCUUAUAUAGUGAAGUGGAGACGGAGCAGUGACACUGUCGCGUCCUGACGGACAUGGACGUUUAAUAUUUUAGGUAUUGAUAGGUGCAGGCAAAUCCACACCUUGAGCUGAGAAUAGAAAGUACAACCUUCUCUUCGGAGAAAGUUGAUAGUACAGGUAAUCAUACUCCCGAGAAAAUCCGCUAGCGUUAAUAUUUAAGCAACUCGUACCGCAAACGGACACACGUGGUCGGGUAGAAUAUACUAAGGCGUUGAGAGAUUCAUGGUUAAGGAACUAGGCAAAUUGACCCUGUAACUUCGGGAUAAAGGGUCCUCGUAUUUAGCUAUACGAGGCGCAGAGAAUAGGUCCAGGCAACUGUUUAACAAAAACACAGGGCUGUGCUAACUCGAAAGAUGAUGUAUACAGCCUGACACCUGCCCGGUGCUGGAAGGUUAAGAGGAGAGCUUAGAUGUAAAUCGACGGUUUGAAUUGAAGCCCCAGUAAACGGCGGCCGUAACUAUAACGGUCCUAAGGUAGCGAAAUUCCUUGUCGGGUAAGUUCCGACCUGCACGAAUGGUGUAA